This 468-nucleotide ribosomal RNA is filed under the name uncultured bacterium. RNAcentral describes it as "partial 16S ribosomal RNA". It matches the Rfam family "Bacterial small subunit ribosomal RNA", at positions 28 to 507 of the family's 1533-position model. The record is from RNAcentral.
GACGAACGCUGGCGGCGUGCUUAACACAUGCAAGUCGAACGGAAAGGCCCUGCUUUUGUGGGGUGCUCGAGUGGCGAACGGGUGAGUAACACAUGAGUAACCUGCCCUUGACUUUGGGAUAACUUCAGGAAACUGGGGCUAAUACCGGAUAGGAGCUCCUGCUGCAUGGUGGGGGUUGGAAAGUUUCGGCGGUUGGGGAUGGACUCGCGGCUUAUCAGCUUGUUGGUGGGGUAGUGGCUUACCAAGGCUUUGACGGGUAGCCGGCCUGAGAGGGUUACCGGCCACAUUGGGACUGAGAUAGGGCCCAGACUCCUACGGGAGGCAGCAGUGGGGAAUAUUGCACAAUGGGCGGAAGCCUGAUGCAGCAACGCCGCGUGCGGGAUGACGGCCUUCGGGUUGUAAACCGCUUUCGCCUGUGACGAAGCGUGAGUGACGGUAAUGGGUAAAGAAGCACCGGCUAACUACGUG